Molecule: ribosomal RNA, 492 nt
Filed under: uncultured bacterium
Lineage: Bacteria
Description: partial 16S ribosomal RNA
Rfam family: Bacterial small subunit ribosomal RNA
Source: RNAcentral
AGUGAACGCUGGCGGUAGGCCUAACACAUGCAAGUCGAACGGCAGCACAGUAAGAGCUUGCUCUUACGGGUGGCGAGUGGCGGACGGGUGAGGAAUACAUCGGAAUCUACUUUUUCGUGGGGGAUUACGUAGGGCAACAUACGCUAACACCGCAUACGUCCUACGGGUGAAAGCAGGGGUUCUUCAGACCUUGCGCGAUUGAAUGAGCCGAUGUCGGAUUAGCUAGUUGGCGGGGUAAAGGCCCACCAAGGCAACGAUCCGUAGCAGAUCUGAGAGGAUGAUCAGCCACACUGGAACUGAGACACGGUCCAGACUCCUAUGGGAGGCAGCAGUGGGGAAUAUUGGACAAUGGGCGCAAGCCUGAUCCAGCCAUACCGCGUGGGUGAAGAAGGCCUUCGGGUUGUAAAGCCCUUUUGUUGGGAAAGAAAAGCAGCAGGUUAAUACCCCGCUGUUCUGACGGUACCCAAAGAAUAAGCACCGGCUAACUUCGUG